RNAcentral lists this ribosomal RNA (347 nucleotides) under uncultured eukaryote. RNAcentral describes it as "SSU rRNA". It matches the Rfam family "Eukaryotic small subunit ribosomal RNA", at positions 594 to 945 of the family's 1831-position model. The record is from RNAcentral.
AUAGCGUAUAUUAAAGUUGUUGCAGUUAAAAAGCUCGUAGUUGAAUUUUGGACCUGGCUGGGUGGUCUUGCCGAAAGGUAAGCACUGCUCCGGUCGGGUCUUUCCUUCUGGAGAACCAGCGUGCUCUUAACUGGGUGCGCUGGGGAUCCAGGACUUUUACUUUGAAAAAAUUAGAGUGUUUAAAGCAGGCCUACGCUUGAAUACAUUAGCAUGGAAUAAUAGAAUAGGACUUUGGUUCUAUUUUGUUGGUUUCUAGGACCGAAGUAAUGAUUAAUAGGGAUAGUUGGGGGCAUUAGUAUUUAAUUGUCAGAGGUGAAAUUCUUAGAUUUAUGAAAGACUAACUUCUG